Molecule: ribosomal RNA, 280 nt
Filed under: uncultured prokaryote
Description: partial 16S ribosomal RNA
Rfam family: Bacterial small subunit ribosomal RNA
Source: RNAcentral
ACGUAGGAGGCGAGCGUUAUCCGGAUUUACUGGGCGUAAAGGGCAAGUAGGCGGUGGCCAAAGUUGGGCGUGACAUCUCCCGGCUCAACUGGGAGGGGUCGUUCAAAACUAGGUCACUAGAGGGCAGGAGAGGGAAGCGGAAUUCCUAGUGUAGCGGUGGAAUGCUCAGAUAUUAGGAAGAACACCAGUGGGAAGGCGGCUUCCUGGCCUGUACCUGACGCUGAGAGGCGAAGGCUAGGGUAGCAAACGGGCUUAGAUACCCUGGUAGUCCCUGAGCGGG